CGAUGAAGGGCGUGCUAAUCUGCGAUAAGCGCCGGUAAGGUGAUAUGAACCGUUAUAACCGGCGAUACCCGAAUGGGGAAACCCAGUGUGAUUCGUCACACUAUCAUUAACUGAAUCCAUAGGUUAAUGAGGCGAACCGGGGGAACUGAAACAUCUAAGUACCCCGAGGAAAAGAAAUCAACCGAGAUUCCCCCAGUAGCGGCGAGCGAACGGGGAGGAGCCCAGAGCCUGAAUCAGCAUGUGUGUUAGUGGAAGCGUCUGGAAAGGCGCGCGAUACAGGGUGACAGCCCCGUACACAAAAGCGCAUGUGCUGUGAGCUCGAUGAGUAGGGCGGGACACGUGGUAUCCUGUCUGAAUAUGGGGGGACCAUCCUCCAAGGCUAAAUACUCCUGACUGACCGAUAGUGAACCAGUACCGUGAGGGAAAGGCGAAAAGAACCCCGGCGAGGGGAGUGAAAAAGAACCUGAAACCGU
Molecule: ribosomal RNA, 473 nt
Filed under: Salmonella enterica subsp. enterica serovar Derby
Lineage: Bacteria; Pseudomonadati; Pseudomonadota; Gammaproteobacteria; Enterobacterales; Enterobacteriaceae
Also listed under: 2 other names
Description: partial 23S ribosomal RNA
Rfam family: Bacterial large subunit ribosomal RNA
Source: RNAcentral